RNAcentral lists this long non-coding RNA (433 nucleotides) under Rattus norvegicus (Norway rat). RNAcentral's name for it is "long non-coding RNA NONRATT002797". The record is from RNAcentral. Lineage: Eukaryota; Metazoa; Chordata; Mammalia; Rodentia; Muridae.
UCACACUGUAUAUACAGUCUCAUCUUUACAUCAAUUGGAGUCAGCAAAUAUGGGCCACACCCAAAAGAAUUAGCCUUUCCCUACUACGUUGUUUACCUCAAAGUGAACACAUCUCUGAGAGGAGAAAUGGGAGUUUUCAGUUGGAAUCUGACAACAGGAAUAUCUCUGAGACCACAACAGGGUUGAAUCUUCUGGGGAGACUGAGAAGGUACCAAAUCAGCCAAAUCACUGCAAAUGAGGCUCCGGCCAACACUCCACAGCAAGUUGGUUUAGUUGAUUAGAGGGCAGCACAGGUGUGGAGCACAUUCCGGUAAGACUGUAAUGAGGUGGCUGGCUCUCAGGGCAGACCCUGCAGCAUGAUCACUCUGGACUACGGCCAGUUACUCCCAGGCAAAAAUGCCAAAUACUAAGUUACCAGGAUGACUUUAUUGUU